CUGAGGAUGGAAAGUCAGGAAUUAGCUUCUCUGAUCCAUCAUGGGAGUUUCUCCAUCACCUUCCCACCCCACAACACCGGUCCUCACAUACAGCUCAGGGCCCACCUGGUACCUAUCUAUCAGCAAGGCUUGAAGAAAGCUUCACGGGACUGAAGGGGAACCAGGACACCUUCUGUGGAGUCCUCCCACACAUAGGCCAGGCCUGAAAACUCAGUUUUGGUUUCCUGUUCCAGGAACCUCUGCUGCGCGAGUUUGCAGAGACAAGUGGGUGGAGGUGUUAAGGCGCAGGGAGUCAGAUGGGCUGCUUCUGCAUUGUGCCGCAGUCUGCCCUGAGCAGAGGAGUGGGGCCUCAAUGUGCAGGGAAUGGGGCACUGCACCGACACAUACACUGUGACUUACUAGCCAAGAUCCAAACUCAGACACCACAGGUAGUGCCUGCAGCCCUCUUCUCCUCUUCAGCACUGUUUCCUUGGAGAAAGAAGUCAUCUGCAACCUGAAGCUACAAGAAAGUCCUUCGUGGGUACCCUCCGUGUCCUGCUGAAUGCCUCCAACACUCCUACUGCCUCAGGACAGACUGUGCUAACAUCUCAGAUGCUCCUGCCAACUCUCCAGCCCUCCCAGGGACACUGCCUCUUGUCUUUCCCUUACCCAAUUGCUUCCCUAACUCCCAACUCACUUCUUUCCCUCUUGUUCUCCCCCACUCACCCUGUAAAUACUACAUCCUGAAUGCCUGCAAGGGUUAGGAACAAUAACUAAGAAUUUCUAAUAAAAAUGCCUGAAGCCUAUCUUUGGGGGCUAACUUCACCUUUAGGGUGAAAAGGUGACCCCCAGAUAUGAAACCAGAUGUUGCUGAUUCCAUGCCAAUGGGACUCCAGAGAUCCAGGUCUCUCGUCUCAAAGCAGACAGAUGAAGUCUUAGAGAGGAGUCAGGGGAGGGGUGCAGACAGUGAGACCCAUUCUAUUUGCUCUCACCCACUCCAGAACACAAAACCAUCACAGACCAUCAACUGAGAUGGUUUCUCACCCACACCAGGUAUCACAGACAGAAUGUGGGGCUCAGAAAGGGAGGAAAGCCAGAGCCAGCCUCUGGGCACGGCACUGUGUAUGGGCACUUUCCAGGUGGGGAGUGUGUAUGAUACAAAUCAGCCCACUAAGGCACCUGCCAAGGCUUUGGCUUUUCCCUAUCCACCACGGAGCACACAGUGCUUGUACCGGAAAGGGGAGAUUGCAUCUCUCAUAACCUUCCCCUGACUCCACAUGCUUUCUGUCCUGUCUCAGCAGACGAGAAACUUCUAGUUAGAAUCGACAAGCUCUCAGAACUAAGCUCAGACCAGUACUUUCUCUAAUUUUCCUUGGUCCCUUCCACAGUCCACAGGGUUAAGCCAGGAGAAGCAGGUCACACAGAAAGGGUGAACUUAGCAACUGAAGCCAGUUCCCUGGAGGGGCACCCAUGCUUCUCACCUUGAGGCUGCUCUGGAGGUUCAGCUGCUACUGAGGCUUCUGCCCAUGACACCCUGGAGAGGAUUAGGGAAGGAUGGUCAAAAGUAAUCUUGGGGCUUGGUAAACUGCAGACCUCAGGAUCACACCUCCCAGAGGCUAGGUAAACUGCAGACCUCAGGAUCACACCUCCCAGAGGCUAGGUAAACUGCAGACCUCAGGAUCACACCUCCCAGAGGCUAGGCAAACUGCAGACUCUAGGAUCACACCUCCCAGAGGCUAUCACACCUCCCAGAGGCUAGGUAAACUGCAGACCCCAGGAUCACACCUCCCAGAGGCUAUCACACCUCCCAGAGGCUAGGUAAAUUGCACACCUCCCAGGCACAGGGUCCCCUGACCUUGAGGUGAUGGACAGUGGCUCUAAAACCUCACACUUGCAUAACUCAGUAUCUAGGUCUGUACACUGCCAGGUCUUCAAGCCCAGGAAAGAGCUUUGGUUCUGGUUCUGUCCUCUAGGGUCCCAUAGACCUUGUGUGUUUGAGCUGUCGCAGUACUCUGCAUUUCUUUCUUUAGUGGGAAGCACACCCCUCUACAGUGGACACUAGUAAUAUUUCACAGACAGGCUGAGGCUCAAAAACUCGCUCAGUAUGUGGCAGAGUGGGCAGGCAGAACAUGAUGCUCUGCUUCUACAUGUAAGGGACAAGAUGACCUUCUACCGCCAAGAGGGGUGAUGAGCCCACUCUGUAGUACAGCGGGUACUCGAGGCAGAUCAUGGAAUAUGAAGGCAAGACAUAGAGGCUUCUCUACAUGUCACCUCAGACUGUUGCUCAUCUCCCCUCACCAAGACAGGUAUCCUGACAUUGAAUGGACAAAUGACCCAGGCCCCAUAACGAGGCAAGUCUUAGCACCUUGGCAACAUAUUGACACUGAUCUUUCAGCAAUGCUGUUCAGCUCUUAGAAGAAUUCAGUACAACCUGGUGAUGGCAGAGAGAGGGUGUUCUCUGGUGACAGGGCUUCCUCUUUGACAGAGUCUAUUUACCACAAUGGGAGCCCUUCAACAAACAAGACCUACCCUCUGCAGAAGGCUGGUUAGCGGGCAUCCAUGUGUGUUCCAGUGGUCCAUCUCUCUGUCAAAAUGAGAUCCUCAUUGUCCUCUGUCAGCCACAUGCUGUCCUCUCCCUGGGAGGAAUUCAGGCAAGUGUAAUUUUCUCUACUUCUGCACACACACAGGACACUUUUGUUGCUCUUUAGAUCCCCGUGCCAGGGAUGCUGUGUGCUUGCCUCCACUGCCCUGUCUGGACAUGCUUACAGGAAGGGCAAAAGACCAGCAUGGUCUGUCUUCUAGUUACCAGGGUAACCUACAGACCUUCUUUGAGGUGUCUUCUUCUCGGGGAUGAUGCAGGGUCCAGAUGGACCGAUGGAGGAAGGGCACAUUAGGACAGUUAUAGGGGUGGGGCAGGAGGGUUUCCCUACGUCCUUGCUACUCAGGGCCCCCACUCAGAAGAGCAGUUGAGCCACUCUACUCAGGGCAGUAGACGUGAGCACUGAAGGAAGCAGGGGUGAGUUCCCAGAGGGGAGUGAGGGUGGCAAGGCUGGGGCCAUGCAGAGUUUAAGGAUGUACUAAAAAACUCGCUCUACAAUGAAAUGUACCACUUUAAUAGAAAAAACUACAAAUGUGUCCACGACUAACCGAUGUCUGAAAAUAGUGGAGUUAGAUAAGCAAGGCCAAAUCCUGGGAUUUUCUUGCUUGGAGAUGUUUGUGCAUUUGUUUUGUUUUGAUAUUUAAGACAAUUAGUUAGUACGUGGGCUGCAGCAAGCACGUGGAAACCAGAAGAGCACGGGGGCAGGUGUGGGGGGAGAGUCACGUCUCUUUUCUCACAACAAAGAUCCUGGACAUUCAACUCAGGUUACGGGAAUUCACAGAAACUUGACCAGCUGAGCCACCUCACUGGGUCCUGAUUAUUUUUCAGAGAUGGUAUGAAAAUAUUAUUUUGAUGUAUGAGGUUUUUUUGAGUCAGUGUCUCACUAUCUAGCAUGGCCUAACUUGGAACUCACUGUAUGUACCAGGUUGGCCUUGAACUUGUGGCAAUCCUCUUGCAUCAGCCCUUGGGUGCCGUGAUGACAGAUAUUUGAGUUACCACACCUGGUUUAAUUAAUGGGCUUUCUAGAGACUCCUUUAAUUAUGCAUGAGAGACAAAUGCCUCUCUUACUUCAUCUUUCUGGGGCCUGAAGGAGUGGGACAGUUUUGAAAAUAUAUCAGGUGACAAAGUACCACCAGUCCAUGAGCUACCUAUCAUCUGCCAAGUGCACAGAUUCAUCUCAGUUCUGAGUGUAUGGCAUGUAGAUUCACAUGUCUCUGUGAUAUAAAGAGAGGUUCUGGGACAAACAGGUGCCUGGCACGCACAUGGCCCCUUACUCGCAGAGCAGCAGUGACUCAUAAGGCAGCUUCCACUUCCUGCCCUCCCUCGGGUUGGCUGCUAAGAGGAGGGGAGGGGAAACAGGGAGGGAGUAACGGGGUGGGCAGGGAAGAGGCUGCAGUCUUUCAUGACUUCCUGGGAAUAGCAGGUUAGCUGUAAUUGCUCGGAGCUGAGAGGCUGUUGAUGAAUGUUCGUAAUAAUCAGCCUUCAGAUCUGACACAGCUCAGGCUGGGAUGACUGUUUUGAAUGGAAAUUGAACCCAAACUAGUAAUUACCCAGGUGAGCGAUGCCAGUCUUCUCCUGGAGCCCUGUUCUAGACAGGGAAAUGACACCUGCAUGUCAACUAAGGGCUCUUUCCCAGGGCCACUCUCAAGAGAACAAGCUGGCCCAAACUCUGCCAACAUGAUGGGAAACAGUAGACAGGAUUACCCACCCUUCUUCCUAGGAACUACUGCUCGCAAAGGAUCCACCAUUGCCCCUAGUCUCUAAGCAGAGUCCUAUGUCCAGCCUUUCCCCUACUGCUUGGUCUAGCAUCUCUGCUGACAUUAUCUCUCCAUGUCCAAAGCAAGUGCUUCCCCCACCCACACCCCACACAAGUGCCAUCUUCAAAGGUGAUGCCUAGGACCCCUGGACACUGAUAGAUGGGAGCCUUUUGUAUUGAGCUGUGGCCAGCUGUGAGGAGUGGAACACAACAGGCCCUAGUAUCCAUCCUGGCUUAGGCCUCUGGUCUCUAUUUGCUCCUUGCUCCAGACAGAGGCCAGAAAUCUGUACCUGGAAAGAGACAGCCUUCUCUGGCCCACAAUGUGGUGCCUCUGAGCGUCUCAUUUCAUAUCUGGACCUCUAGGGUGUUGGCACUACCCAGAGCCAAGCCAGAGGGGGAAGCACUACUCCCGUGUCUUAUGAUUUUUUGUCCUGAUUCUCCCAGGGCUGCUGGAUACUAAGAAAGCAAAUGCUAGACAGCUAAGAUGAAGUUCAUACAUUGGACACACCAAUCUUCCACUCUCUACACUGUGCUUGGCCUAGGCCAGUUGAGAGGCCCAGAGGAGGCCUAAGCCUUUGACAAUUCCUAAGGGAAGACAGAUAAGUGGGCAGCAAAUUACAACUAGAGGUGGGCCCUAAUGGUCUCUGCCCAAGGAAACACUCCGAGCCUCAAGUCUACAGGUGUUUUUGAGAAGCCUAGGAGAGACAGGUCAGGCCAGUGGGGUUCAGUGAGUGUGAGCAUAGCCUUUCAGGCUGCAGAAACACAGUAAGGAGCUGGCACCUUGAGUGCCACCUAGUGGUGUCAGAGAAGGAAGGCAGCUUCAGGUCGAGUGAUGUUUCCGUCCCUAUCUGUCCCCACCCCUGAACUCAAAUGUGAACAGAAAGCCGAGGAAAUGGAUUUAGUUUUGCUCCCAAAGGCUUGGGGCUUUGAAGAUAGGAUAUAGCAUGGGGCCCAGGGUAUGGAAACAGCAGAGCAGCAGGGAGGGAGGGGCUGGAUCACAGGUUCCCUUUCAGGACACACUGUAGCCUUCUGAAUACGUCUCUACUCUGCAGUGAAUCCUACUCCUUCAGCAAGACUUCAGCUGCCACCAGCGCCUGGUUUGUCCCAUGGGAAGUGGCCAGAGCCCAUCUCAGCCUGUCUGAACCCUGCUGGGUUCCAGAAGGCUCAGUUUCUAGACACUCUCACUUCUUCCCAGGGAAAAGUCAUCACCAGAGCCGACUGGUCCCUGAGGUAACGUUCCGAGGAGUGGUGAACACUCAGCACAGGGUAUAUGGGCUGUGUGGGUGGGGUGGGGAUUGCACAGGGCGGAGAGAGGCAGCUGUGGGAAGACACGAGAGAAUGGCCACCAUGGGGUAAAAGCAGGGCAGCCUUAGGGAAUAACUCACAGGGUUGCAAGGUUUUUCUUAAAGGGCCAAGGAAUAAAUAUUUUAGAUGUGUGAGCCAGAUUAGCCCCACGAUUGCAGGGUGAAGGAGCCUUGACAGUAUCUAAAAACAUAGGUUUAGCAGUGCACCAAUAAACUGUUUACAAAAGUAGGCACUUGUACACUGGCUAUAAUGCCCUGAAUCAGUACAUCUGGAGAACAUAGGCUCUUGCUACACACUGUUAACAAAUAUAGGGUGUCUAUGGACGAUCAGCACACUUACUGAGAUCUCCAGACAUGGCAUAAGGUCAGGGUCAGAGCAGGACAGUCCAGGUGGGUGGUCCUAAUCCUUGCCCUCAGCACUGGGGGGUCGGGGAGGGGGGAGGCACUCACCUGCUGUGAAGGUUUUGUUGCUGUUGUUAUUCCACUGUCUUCCUCUAGGGGGGUCUCUCUUGGUCUAGCUGCUGCCCCUUCAACCCCUUCUCCAGCAGGAAGCCCCCAGAGCAAGGGGUGGGGAUAGGGGUGAAUGGGGCUGAACUGCCCCAGGGACAAACCAACAGACAGAUGACACCAGGGGAAGGUGAGGUGGCCAGAGGCAGGAGGAGGAGGUGUAACCCAGCACCAAGAGCCAGAGGCCAAGAAGAGGCCAGGCUGGCCCUAUUAGUCCUGUGAGCCUGGGCCCCACUGGACCCCAACUCCUACCAGAGACACAUACAGCUAGCUAGCAGGGGACCUGUCCAGCUUCUCCACCCCAGCCCCUGUCUCUUUGUAGGUGACACUGGGCAAUAAGAUCACAAGUCCUGGAUGGGGUUGGUAUGCUUGUUCUCAUGUUACACUAAAAGUGAGACUGAGGGAGAUGCUAUCGAGGCAAUGCAGACACAGCACGGGCUCAUCCAACAUUGAUACGGGCCCUGGAUUGCCCCCAGAGCCCCUCUGAGCAGAUGUGGGAUCCCAGGUCUCAGCUUCUGGUGAUGGACUGCCAAGCAGAGAAGGGUCCUCUGCCCCAUAGAUCACAUGGGGACUUGUUCCAGGCUUUCUGGCUUUUUAAAAAAUCAGACCCCUCUGGUGGAUCCCCUGGGAGUACAGGACCUUGCUUACUGGACCGUAUCAGUAGGCAGAGACUCCCAUGAAAAGCCAGCUGUUCAGGAGGCCGUCAUCACACCCAGUCGUUGAUGGGUUGGGGAAAGGGAACUGUAUCUAUACUGUCCCACUCCCCAGUCCUAUGCCUUACUCCCUCUCCUUCUAUUUUCCUAUGCAUGUAUUUCCACUCAGACACAUAACACUUGCACAUGUGGCCACCCUGGUGGCACGUGCACACACCUCUGUCUCCAAGGAUGCACAGACCUACCUGUCUGCAUGGUGUGCACAUACCUCAGACAUGCUCACUGGUGUCUACUCAGUGCACGUACAGAUGUGCACACACACAAACCCUUUUUCCCAGGGGAGCCCAACCCUCACAGCUCUGUUCUGUGACUACUGGUGAUGGAUCAGAAGCUAUCAUGCAGGAUGUCAGCCUGUGGAGAAAGGGAUGUUAGCCCACUGGCAGGCCCUGGCCAUCCUGGCAUGGUGUGGCACUGAUCUGCAGUGUCAGAGGAGUAUGGAAGCAGGGCCAGGUUGGAAUCCAGUCUUUACUACAGAAUGGAAACUUGUAAAGAGUUAAUCCUGGGCAGCCAUCACUCUGAUUUCCCUGACUACAAAGAUGACCCUAGGCGCUGACUUCAUCACCUGACCUGAACUCUGUGCCUAUCAUCUUAUACUGGUUCUGAUCUGCUGGUGUAAUUCUCCAGCAGGAUCCACAUCUGACAUCUGCUGUGGCAACAGCCCUGACAGAUUGGUUACCAAAGCCUGCUGACUACCACCCCAAAACAAACACACGUAUGUGCACAUGCAUAAAUGCAUGCAUGCACACACCUAGAAUUUUCUUUGUUCACCAUUUAAGACACCAGAAUACCUACCUGACACUGCAGAGGGAGGCUGAUUGGGAACAUGUCCCUGAACCCCCAUGUGGGUGCUGUAGCUUCAAGAGAAAGAGCCCUUACCACUCAGGGUAGAGAGAAAAGAGAUCUCUCUUGACUCACUGCCUUUUCAGCCAGAUCCAUACUGGCUGGCUGGGCUGCCUUGUCUGAUCUCUGUGGAAGAGGAUGUGUCUAGCCUCACAGAGACUUGAUGUGCCAGGGUGGGGGGGACACACAAGGGGGUCCUCACUUGCUCAGAGGGGAAGGGGAUGGGGGGAUUGUAUGUGGGGGGAGGGGCUGGUGACCAGGAGGUGGGCAGUGAGCAGGGUGUAAAGUGAAUACAUUUUUAAAAAUUAAAGAAAAAAAAAAGAUAGAUCCCCACUGAUUCCCUGUGCAAUGAAUCCCAUUUGCCCUAACCGAUCCAGAGGACUGGGUCUUGUCCUGUUAAAUAUCCAUUAGAAGAGAAGCCUCUGGAACACAGCAGUCUCAGACCACCUGCCUCUGGAGGCCUGCCUCGCCCAGUAACUCCUGAGUUAGCACUGUCACAGGCAUGGUCUCAAUCCUGCCUUCCCAGGCUUCAUCCCACCACCCAGCAAUCACAGGACACACUGAGACAGAGAGAGGAGGAUGGAGGGGGAUGACCAGGAAGGAGCAUCUGAGUAUACUGUGUGCUGAACUGUUCUUUAAUGAGGCAGCUGGACUCGGUCCCAACAAUAAAUAGUGCAGGAGGGUUCUACUGUCCCCACACUGUCACCCUGUCAACACCAUCCCAGCACCCUGAUGUCAGCGGUCAUGUGUAGAAAGCACAUCUGACUGCUGUUGUCCCAUGUUAGCAUGCUGUUACAGCCAUUCAACUCCAUGUUCCCUCCUCUGGGCCUCCCAUGUAAGACCCAUGUCCCUUCCGUAACUCCAGAGAAAAUCAAAAUCACUCACUCAACCUGGACUUUAGGAAAAAUAAUAAACCAUGAAAAUUACAAAAAGAGAAAAAAUAGACUAGGAAAGAGACCAAUGACAGAGUUCAGAAAGACUGGACUGCUCCCCACCAAGGGUUUUGAAAUACCUAUGAGUAGAAGAGCAUGGGAUAUAGAUGACACACAAAAAGUUACAAGACCAGCCAGGAGGUGGUGGCGCCCACUUUUAAUCACAGCACUCAGGAUGCAGAGGCAGGCAGAUCUCUGUUAGUUCGAGGUCAGCCUUUUCUGUUCAGGGCUUCACAAAAACCCUGUCUCAAAAAACAAAACAAACAAAGAGAGAAAGAAAGAAAGGAAGGAAGAAAGCAAGGAAGGAAGGAGGGAUGGAAGGAUGGAGGGAUGGAGGGAUGGAGGGAUGGAGGGAGGGAGGGAGGGAGGGAGGGAGGGAGAGAGAGAGAGAGAGAGAGAGAGAGAGAGAGAGAGAGAGAGAAAGGAAGGAGGAAAGAAAGAAAAUGAAAGAAAGAGAAAAAAGUUAUGACAAGACUGGGGGCCAGGGCCAUUGUGUCUUUUUCCUUUCUCAAACUAUUCUCCAAGUGCCUUUCUCUCUUAAUAAACUCUUUCUUCUGUUACCAUCUGUGCUUCUGUCCAAAUCUUUUCUCAGGAACACACAAACCCAAAUCCCAGUGAAUGCCUUGUGGGACCCUUAUCCACCUCUAACAAAGGCUAUGAUGCCAACCUAACCAGCCCAGCUCCUUCAGCUUCAGUGGCCAUAAGUCCACAGAGCUAGUGAC
This is a long non-coding RNA of Mus musculus (house mouse), 9352 nucleotides long. RefSeq annotates it as predicted gene, 32309. Lineage: Eukaryota; Metazoa; Chordata; Mammalia; Rodentia; Muridae. The transcript is spliced from 3 exons. The record is from RefSeq and is a predicted model, not a curated record.